GGAGUAAAAGUGUAACAAGGCCUCCGUAGGUGAACCUGCGGAGGGAUCAUUACAGAGUUCGUGCCCUCACGGGUAGAUCUCCCACCCUGUGUUAUUAUACCUUUGUUGCUUUGGCGGGCCGCCCUCGGCUACCGGCCCCGGCUGGUACGCGCCCGCCAGAGGACCCCAAACUCUGAAUGUUAGUGUCGUCUGAGUACUAUACAAUAGUUAAAACUUUCAACAACGGAUCUCUUGGUUCUG
RNAcentral lists this unclassified non-coding RNA (240 nucleotides) under plant metagenome. RNAcentral describes it as "partial contains small subunit ribosomal RNA, internal transcribed spacer 1, and 5.8S ribosomal RNA". The stretch from base 1 to 52 matches the Rfam family "Eukaryotic small subunit ribosomal RNA", at positions 1779 to 1831 of the family's 1831-position model. The record is from RNAcentral.